Molecule: long non-coding RNA, 756 nt
Organism: Centruroides sculpturatus (bark scorpion)
Lineage: Eukaryota; Metazoa; Arthropoda; Arachnida; Scorpiones; Buthidae
Exons: 2
Source: RefSeq, a predicted model, not a curated record
CAUUUCCAUUAAUUAAGAAUAUUGUAAAUAGAAAAAAAAAUGCGUUUAUUUAAAAUUGAAAUUCUAUUCUUUUAGAUAUGGUACUAUAACCUAAGGAACCAUCUAAAAAAGUUUGAUUCUUUGGAUGCCAAAGGUUUUAUCCCCCUAUGAAAUGCUGCAGAUAUCAACAGUUGUGCACUUCUCAAAAAGUUGUAUGUUAAAUUCUGUUGAGUGCUGACUGCCUUAAGAUUGUUUGGCCUAGCAUGUCCUCUUGGUUAUCUGUGUACCAUGUUUGUUAGAAUCAUCAAAAUGAUAAGCUUACACUGACUAUUGCUUUGACUGGUGGUGCCCAAACGUUUUGAUAGGUGGAAAAACUGCAUAUAAAUCAUAGAUGGGUUAGGCUCAUAUUUUGUAUAUUACAUAUGUAGAAAAAGUAAGUCUGUCUCUAUCAAUCAUAAGAGAUGUUUCAAGUAACUGCACACCAUGUUGACGUGUGCUGAGCCCAAUUGGUUCACAAUUUACGGUUUGGGCACCACUGGUUUUGACUGUUUUGGUGAUGAUUAUUUUUAAUUUCACCAUCUUUCGACUGAUUAUUAUUAGAUGAUAAAGUAUUUCUGAUUUUUAUUGAUGAUUAUGCACAGCUUCUUACAUAAAUAAGUUUUUUAUAGAAAUUUUUCAUUUUCAGGAAAUUUUUUAAGAAGAAACAGAAUCAAAUAGGAGUGUCGAAAUUCCCCAAUUUGGAUUAUGUUUGAGUCUGUCUCUGAGAAUAGAAAAAAA